GGAUUAGAUACCCUGGUAGUCCAUGCCGUAAACGGUGGGCGCUAGGUGUGAGUCCCUUCCACGGGGUUCGUGCCGUAGCUAACGCAUUAAGCGCCCCGCCUGGGGAGUACGGCCGCAAGGCUAAAACUCAAAGGAAUUGACGGGGGCCCGCACAAGCGGCGGAGCAUGUGGAUUAAUUCGAUGCAACGCGAAGAACCUUACCUGGGCUUGACAUACACCAGAUCGGGCCAGAGAUGGUCUUUCCCUUUGUGGUUGGUGUACAGGUGGUGCAUGGUUGUCGUCAGCUCGUGUCG
RNAcentral lists this ribosomal RNA (293 nucleotides) under uncultured bacterium. RNAcentral describes it as "partial 16S ribosomal RNA". It matches the Rfam family "Bacterial small subunit ribosomal RNA", at positions 775 to 1067 of the family's 1533-position model. The record is from RNAcentral.